UCCUGGCACCCUUCAUUCCACCGGAAUCUGUCUAUACAGAAACCAGAUUUCAGUGAAAUGAAGCCUGUCAGAGA
Molecule: microRNA precursor, 74 nt
Filed under: Patagioenas fasciata monilis
Lineage: Eukaryota; Metazoa; Chordata; Aves; Columbiformes; Columbidae
Description: mir-205 microRNA precursor family
Rfam family: mir-205 microRNA precursor family
Source: Rfam by way of RNAcentral